UGCCCAGCAGCUCCUAUCCCUACCUCCUUGCGGUACCGGCCGGAAACUAUGAGCAACCUUAGGGAAGAUCGGGUACCCAACCCCGGUGGGAACUUUGGUCGUAGGCUGACAGGGAAGG
Molecule: non-coding RNA, 118 nt
Organism: Aedes albopictus (Asian tiger mosquito)
Lineage: Eukaryota; Metazoa; Arthropoda; Insecta; Diptera; Culicidae
Source: Rfam